UUUCGAAUCAUUCACAAUGGGCGCAAGCCUGAUGGUGCGACGCCGCGUGAGGGAUGAAGGUCUUCGGAUUGUAAACCUCUGUCACUGGGGAGAAAACGCUUUGAGUUAAUAGUUCAAAGCCUGAUUUAACCCGGAGAGGAAGCAGUGGCUAACUCUGUGCCAGCAGCCGCGGUAAUACAGAGACUGCAAGCGUUAUUCGGAUUCACUGGGCGUAAAGGGUGCGCAGGCGGUUGGGUGUGUCAGAUGUGAAAUCCCGAGGCUUAACCUCGGAACUGCGUCUGAAACUACUCGACUAGAGUACUGGAGAGGGAAACGGAAUUCACGGUGUAGCAGUGAAAUGCGUAGAUAUCGUGAGGAACACCAGAGGCGAAGGCGGUUUCCUGGACAGUUACUGACGCUCAG
This 402-nucleotide ribosomal RNA is filed under the name uncultured bacterium. RNAcentral's name for it is "bacterial SSU rRNA". It matches the Rfam family "Bacterial small subunit ribosomal RNA", at positions 355 to 750 of the family's 1533-position model. The record is from RNAcentral.